GAUAAUUUUCCGAAUGGUAUUUCGCGCGAUAGUACGAAUCGCGUCGCUUGCACUGUGAACGGUCUCACAGUUUUCAACGUGUUCAAAUGAGGUGCGAUUCUUCGCGCGAAUCGCUCGCUCGCUCGCUCGCGUGCACUGUGUUUCUGCCCUAAGAUUGCAAUUUUCCCCCUCAGGAUAAUGACUAUCCGAAUCACAGAGAAAUUGCUUGAUUUAAACGAAGUUCGAACGAAACCCCUCUCGAAUCUCGGGGCGCUUCAUUUCUUCUGAAAUUCGCGAUGAAAUUCCUACAAACGUACAGGUGAUCGCACAAUCGUCCUGUAUCACGGGAGAACUUCAGCUGUCAACCGUUUUUUGUCUCGCUUUUUAUAAAUAGUUUUUCUUUUUCGCCUUUGGCGGAAAGAUACGUAAAGUUUCCAUUUGUGACGACAAAGCCCAAAGCAAACAUCAAGAAAAUCAGCGGCGAAAUGUUGCUCUUACGGCCAUUUAGGACACUUUCUCCAGACGAGCCAUCCAUCAGCCAAGGAAAAAAACAGUGAAAAAAAUGCGGCCAGGAUUCAGCGGAAACAUCGGUGAUGCUGGUAGCCAGGCGGAAGGAACCUCUGCGCCAAGGGAUCUACCGGCCGUCGAAAUUGGCCGUCGCAACAUACUUUGUUGCACACCAAGUUUCAGGCAAUAUACCGGAAAAAUACAAACAGAAUACAGCAGCCAUUUGAUAUUAUUAAAAAAAAGU
Uranotaenia lowii is the source of this 730-nucleotide long non-coding RNA. RefSeq lists it as uncharacterized. The record is from RefSeq and is a predicted model, not a curated record. The transcript is spliced from 3 exons. Lineage: Eukaryota; Metazoa; Arthropoda; Insecta; Diptera; Culicidae.